ACCUAACAUAAUCGCAACCACCCUCACCAGCAGCCCCUACCUUCAUUGUCUAAUUAAGGUAACGCAUGAGUUGGAGGGCUUGUGCUGUCACAGUAACAGUAACUUCUAGAUCUACUCAUCCUGUUUCCUGAAAUGGCAGACCCUGCCAAAAACUACUGUAUGUACAGAGGGGACACAGAUAUCCUGUUGUUUGCUUUGCACCGCAGUUGAAAUAUCGGCAGCAAUCUUGUAUUGUGUGUGUGAUUCCUCUGAAUUGCUGUGAUCUUUACUGGUGUUAUCAAGACUGACAGUUGCAGUAAGAACAGGACAGAGUCUUGGCUUCUGAAAGUGAUGGUCGCUUACACAGCGUGGAUUUUCCUGUUUGUAAUUUGGGUUUUCGUAUUCACUGCUCACGGAAAAACAAUACUGGGGGAAGCAAAAUAGGGAGUUUAAAAACAGGUGAGGGAUGGAGGCAACAAAGAAGAAAGAAGACGCUCAGUGCAGCCAAUGUGAUUGUCACCGCUGUCUCAGUAAUCCUCGUCAUUGGAAACAUGUCCUUCGCUGCAGCUGUCAUUGCUGGGAUAUUUGGGUGUCUGGAAAAAUAGGCCUGUUCUGGUACUUUGCUUGCAUGUGAUUCACAGUUUUGUACAUAUGAUACCAGUACAACCUAACAGUUAGACUAAACAAACUGGAUAGUGUUAUUAACAUAUUACAUACCAUAAAAUGGGUUGUUCAUUUUCCAAGGAAGUUUAAUUGUUAGGUCAUAUAACAUCUUAUGAGAGUUAAGCCUGUCAACAAGGUGAAACUGCAAAUAUUUGCUAAAGAUCCACUUGCCUAUAAUUACUGUAUGUAUCACCUUGUGCCAGACAUACCAGUUGUCAUCAUCAGUUGGGGAAUGUUUUUAAUGUUGUGAUCUUGUCCUCAUGAGUAAUGUGUGGAAUGUGCUUAUCUUAUAAAAAACAAGCCUUGCUAUACUUCAUAUAGACUAGCUGAAGUAUUGAAUUCAUAAACAUAGAUGUUAUAAAAUGUGGAGAUCUCACUCAUGACAUAAAUGUCCCCUUGUGUUUUAGGGCUAAAGGAAGGCCAAUGAGAUAAAACUUCAGCACAUAAAUGGGUCAUAAAAUGUGUCAGUCUGCUGACCUCAUGACUCAGCCUGUUAUUGCUUAUGCCAGGAGUAUCUGAGGUCAUGGAAAUGCUCAGAGUUCAGUGUGUAAGGAUGAAAAUAAUGUGUCAUAGUGAUCGAUAUGAAUUGAGAGAGAUAAUUAACUUCAUUUUGAAAAGAUAUCAAGUUUUACCAUAAGUUGUCUGAAUAUAAUUAUAUCAGAAUGUGUCCAGUACUAUAAACAGCUUUUUUAUGUAAGUGCAUGAUGCCAUUCAACUUAAUUGAAAUUCAUUGUCUAUUUUUGCUUUCAACAUACAAAGUUUCAAUACAAGGACUCACCAUAUAUGACCUUACUUGCAAAUCUACACAGUAAAACCAAUCUGUGUUUUGUGUUACAAUGUUUUGAGUACAAAAAGAGAAAUUCCCAAGUACAAGUCAAACCCAUGUGAAUCGUUGAACCUGAAUUAUGUGUAAAUUACAGUUAUGUAAACCAGUAUUAAUAUAUUUUACAUUCAAACAUUUGGACAUUUUAAAAUCUAGUUAUGUUAGUGUCACCAGCAAGUUGUGAUUUAUAAAUGAUGAUUCAUUUUUAUGGUCUUUUUGAAGGAAGCAAACUUCAGCUGUGUCCAUGUUCAGUUAAUAAACCUUCUACUACUGA
Micropterus salmoides (largemouth bass) is the source of this 1739-nucleotide long non-coding RNA. RefSeq lists it as uncharacterized. The record is from RefSeq and is a predicted model, not a curated record. NCBI's taxonomy places the organism in Eukaryota, Metazoa, Chordata, Actinopteri, Centrarchiformes, Centrarchidae. The transcript is spliced from 5 exons.